CAUGGCUCAGAUUGAACGCUGGCGGCAGGCCUAACACAUGCAAGUCGAGCGGUAGAGAGAAGCUUGCUUCUCUUGAGAGCGGCGGACGGGUGAGUAAUGCCUAGGAAUCUGCCUGGUAGUGGGGGAUAACGUUCGGAAACGGACGCUAAUACCGCAUACGUCCUACGGGAGAAAGCAGGGGACCUUCGGGCCUUGCGCUAUCAGAUGAGCCUAGGUCGGAUUAGCUAGUUGGUGAGGUAAUGGCUCACCAAGGCGACGAUCCGUAACUGGUCUGAGAGGAUGAUCAGUCACACUGGAACUGAGACACGGUCCAGACUCCUACGGGAGGCAGCAGUGGGGAAUAUUGGACAAUGGGCGAAAGCCUGAUCCAGCCAUGCCGCGUGUGUGAAGAAGGUCUUCGGAUUGUAAAGCACUUUAAGUUGGGAGGAAGGGUUGUAGAUUAAUACU
This 447-nucleotide ribosomal RNA is filed under the name Pseudomonas sp. DJ18. Its description in RNAcentral is "bacterial SSU rRNA". It matches the Rfam family "Bacterial small subunit ribosomal RNA", at positions 18 to 468 of the family's 1533-position model. The record is from RNAcentral. Lineage: Bacteria; Pseudomonadati; Pseudomonadota; Gammaproteobacteria; Pseudomonadales; Pseudomonadaceae.